Molecule: ribosomal RNA, 372 nt
Filed under: Gammaproteobacteria bacterium
Lineage: Bacteria; Pseudomonadati; Pseudomonadota; Gammaproteobacteria
Description: partial 23S ribosomal RNA
Rfam family: Bacterial large subunit ribosomal RNA
Source: RNAcentral
AGCAGGUCCCAAGGGUAUGGCUGUUCGCCAUUUAAAGUGGUACGCGAGCUGGGUUUAGAACGUCGUGAGACAGUUUGGUCCCUAUCUGCCGUGGGCGUCGGAGACUUGAGAGGAUCUGCUUCUAGUACGAGAGGACCGAAGUGGACGUACCUCUGGUGUUCCAGUUAUCAUGCCAAUGGUAUUGCUGGGUAGCUAUGUACGGACGGGAUAACCGCUGAAAGCAUCUAAGCGGGAAGCCUCCCUCAAGAUUAGGUCUCCCGGGGCUUUUGCCCCCUGAAGGGCCGUUGAAGACUACAACGUUGAUAGGCUGGAUGUGGAAGUGCAGUAAUGUAUUAAGCUAACCAGUACUAAUUGCCCGUGAGGCUUGAUCAU